UACUUUCCGCCAGAGAACUACGAGUGAAAAACUUAAAACUCAAAGGACUUGACGGUGUCCCAUAUCGGCCUAGAGGAGCCUGUCCUAUAAUCGAUACCCCCCGUUCCACCCAACCCCAACUAGCAAAACAUCAGCCUAUAUACCGCCGUCGACAGUUUACCCUAUGAAGGUCCAAUAGUAGACACAACAGCCCUAACGCUAAUACGUCAGGUCAAGGUGUAGCAAAUGCUGGGGAAGAGAUUGGCUACAUUUUUUAUGAUAAAAAACACGAAUUGCACCAUGAAAAAGUGCAUGAAGGUGAAUUUAGUAGUAAAACAGAUAAGAGUGUC
This 329-nucleotide ribosomal RNA is filed under the name Podarcis siculus (Italian wall lizard). Its description in RNAcentral is "partial 12S ribosomal RNA". It matches the Rfam family "Bacterial small subunit ribosomal RNA", at positions 863 to 1358 of the family's 1533-position model. Lineage: Eukaryota; Metazoa; Chordata; Lepidosauria; Squamata; Lacertidae. The record is from RNAcentral.